AACGAACGCUGGCGGCAGGCUUAACACAUGCAAGUCGAACGGGCGUAGCAAUACGUCAGUGGCAGACGGGUGAGUAACACGUGGGAACCUUCCUAGGGGUACGGAACAACUCAGGGAAACUUGAGCUAAUACCGUAUACGUCCGCAAGGAGAAAGAUUCAUCGCCCCUAGACGGGCCCGCGUCGGAUUAGGUAGUUGGUGGGGUAACGGCCUACCAAGCCUACGAUCCGUAGCUGAUCUGAGAGGAUGAUCAGCCACACUGGGACUGAGACACGGCCCAGACUCCUACGGGAGGCAGCAGUGGGGAAUCUUGGACAAUGGGCGGCAAGCCUGAUCCAGCCAUGCCGCGUGAGUGAAGAAGGCCUUAGGGUUGUAAAGCUCUUUUACCAGGGACGAUAAUGACGGUACCUGGAGAAUAAGCCCC
Molecule: ribosomal RNA, 423 nt
Filed under: uncultured bacterium
Lineage: Bacteria
Description: bacterial SSU rRNA
Rfam family: Bacterial small subunit ribosomal RNA
Source: RNAcentral